GCGGGUGUAGUUUAGUGGUAAAAUCCAAGCUUCCCAAGCUUGUGUCGCGAGUCCGAUUCUCGUCACCCGCU
This 71-nucleotide transfer RNA is filed under the name Furfurilactobacillus siliginis. Its description in RNAcentral is "Lactobacillus siliginis tRNA". It matches the Rfam family "tRNA". From Rfam's summary of the family: Transfer RNA (tRNA) molecules are approximately 80 nucleotides in length. Their secondary structure includes four short double-helical elements and three loops (D, anti-codon, and T loops). The record is from Rfam by way of RNAcentral. Lineage: Bacteria; Bacillati; Bacillota; Bacilli; Lactobacillales; Lactobacillaceae. RNAcentral also lists the same sequence under 3 other names.